UACGUAGGGUGCAAGCGUUAAUCGGAAUUACUGGGCGUAAAGCGUGCGCAGGCGGUUUUGUAAGUCUGUCGUGAAAUCCCCGGGCUCAACCUGGGAAUUGCGAUGGAGACUGCAAGGCUAGAGUUUGGCAGAGGGGGGUAGAAUUCCACGUGUAGCAGUGAAAUGCGCAGAUAUCAGGAAGAACACCCGUGGCGAAAGCGGCUCUCUGGAACGGUACUGACGCUGAGACGCGAAAGCGUGGGGAGCGAACAGG
RNAcentral lists this ribosomal RNA (253 nucleotides) under uncultured bacterium. RNAcentral describes it as "partial 16S ribosomal RNA". It matches the Rfam family "Bacterial small subunit ribosomal RNA", at positions 524 to 776 of the family's 1533-position model. The record is from RNAcentral.